CCAGGAGCAAGGAAAGGGGGCGAUCCCCACUCUCAAACCCUAAAUUCUGCUUAAAACUCUCAAUUGAAGGAGCAAAUCUGGUCCAAACGAAAAUCCGAGCCUAGAAUCGUGAUCCUCAUCGCAAGAGGAUUAUAAGGAACGGGCGCAGGAGCGUCAAGCGGACAAGCGGGUGGCGAACCACGUCAAAAAGGGCUACUUUGAAGGUGAUGAGGUGGAUCAUAUGGACGACGGUCAAGCAACGUAGAAGAACCGAACACGA
Molecule: long non-coding RNA, 259 nt
Organism: Helianthus annuus (common sunflower)
Lineage: Eukaryota; Viridiplantae; Streptophyta; Magnoliopsida; Asterales; Asteraceae
Exons: 3
Source: RefSeq, a predicted model, not a curated record